GUGCUGCGUCUGAUGACAUUUAGCACCUCCAUCUCCUCUUCGUUCUCCAGAAAAGAAGGAUGUCCAAAAGAAGCCAGUAAAUACAUUCUCUCAGAGGUCUUCUGAUUCGAGGUCGCGGGGUAGGGGUCGAGCGGGAGUAAGGGUCGAGGCGGAGUAAAACCAGCUGCGUGUGGUUCUGGAGAUUGACGACUCUCCUCACACAACAGAUUUUCAACACUUAUCGACG
This 226-nucleotide long non-coding RNA is filed under the name Mytilus galloprovincialis (Mediterranean mussel). The record is from RNAcentral. Lineage: Eukaryota; Metazoa; Mollusca; Bivalvia; Mytilida; Mytilidae.